UUGGCAUUACACAGCUCAUGACUUGCUUCUUCCUCAGGUGAAUGUUUUGGAGAUCUGAUGUUAUUUUAAACUGACAUCUUUCUCAAUUAAUCUUUUGUAAGCACAACAAAAUCCAGGCAGGUGAUCAGCAGGCGCCUGAAACACCUCUGACUCCUCAGGAUGCCUGUGCUCCCUGGGAUUAUUGUUUAUGGAGCGGUGCUUCUGUGUGCAGCUCUUACACUCUGUGUCACCAUGAGUUCUUCCACUAAGGUGAACGUGAAUGUCGUAAAUAAGUUUACAGGAGACCCGCCCUCAUCCAAGGGUCCUAGAGGUAGAGGCAAGAAGUGAGAUCCAGUGUGCAGAUCAGCAAAAUGAAAGAGUCUAUAAGAAUCUAGAAGAAUUCUAGAAGAUUCUAGGAGAAUCUUUCACUGCAACAAAAGAAGACCUCCCCCUUCUCUGCUCUACAACCCAGGUCCUUCUUUUCCUGACAAUCUAAGGGCAAAGUCCCUCCUUGCUCACACCCUGCACUCCAUGCUUCACUUCAGCCCCAUGAAUCCUGCUGUCCUUCUGUUGAAUGGAGAGGAGUUUUUCAUGUAUGUCAGCACUUAGUCCCCCCUGGGGGUGUGCCC
This is a long non-coding RNA of Sciurus carolinensis (gray squirrel), 608 nucleotides long. RefSeq lists it as uncharacterized. The transcript is spliced from 3 exons. The record is from RefSeq and is a predicted model, not a curated record. Lineage: Eukaryota; Metazoa; Chordata; Mammalia; Rodentia; Sciuridae.